RNAcentral lists this ribosomal RNA (241 nucleotides) under uncultured Actinomycetales bacterium. RNAcentral describes it as "partial 16S ribosomal RNA". It matches the Rfam family "Bacterial small subunit ribosomal RNA", at positions 89 to 334 of the family's 1533-position model. Lineage: Bacteria; Bacillati; Actinomycetota; Actinomycetes; Actinomycetales. The record is from RNAcentral.
ACUCGAGUGGCGAACGGGUGAGUAACACGUGGGUGAUCUGCCCUGCACUUCGGGAUAAGCUUGGGAAACUGGGUCUAAUACCGGAUAGGAGCCAUCUUUAGUGUGGUGGUUGGAAAGUUUUUCGGUGUAGGAUGAGCUCGCGGCCUAUCAGCUUGUUGGUGGGGUAAUGGCCUACCAGGGCGGCGACGGGUAGCCGGCCUGAGAGGGUGUACGGCCACAUUGGGACUGAGAUACGGCCCAG